This 155-nucleotide ribosomal RNA is filed under the name Mysmeninae sp. MYSM-023-MAD. RNAcentral describes it as "partial 18S ribosomal RNA". It matches the Rfam family "Eukaryotic small subunit ribosomal RNA", at positions 1205 to 1359 of the family's 1831-position model. The record is from RNAcentral. Lineage: Eukaryota; Metazoa; Arthropoda; Arachnida; Araneae; Mysmenidae.
UUUGACUCAACAMGGGAAAACUUACCCGGCCCGGACACNGGAAGGAUUGACAGAUUAAGAGCUCUUUCUUGAUUCUGUGGGUGGNGGUGCAUGGCCGUUCUUAGUUGGUGGARCGAUUUGUCUGGUUAAUUCCGAUAACGAACGAGAMUCUAGCC